UACAGAGGGUGCAAGCGUUGUUCGGAAUUAUUGAGCGUAAAGCGCGUGUAGGCGGCUUUGCAAGUCGGGUGUGAAAGCCCUCAGCUCAACUGAGGAAGUGCGCCCGAAACUGCAGAGCUUGAGUACCGGAGAGGAUGGCGGAAUUCCCCAAGUAGAGGUGAAAUUCGUAGAUAUGGGGAGGAACACCGGUGGCGAAGGCGGCCAUCUGGACGGAUACUGACGCUGAGACGCGAAAGCGUGGGGAGCAAACAGG
This 253-nucleotide ribosomal RNA is filed under the name uncultured bacterium. RNAcentral describes it as "partial 16S ribosomal RNA". It matches the Rfam family "Bacterial small subunit ribosomal RNA", at positions 524 to 776 of the family's 1533-position model. The record is from RNAcentral.